Molecule: ribosomal RNA, 455 nt
Filed under: uncultured bacterium
Lineage: Bacteria
Description: bacterial SSU rRNA
Rfam family: Bacterial small subunit ribosomal RNA
Source: RNAcentral
CAGCAGGUGGGAAUAUUGCACAAUCGGGCGCAAGCCUGAUGCAGCCAUGCCGCGUGUGUGAAGAAGGCCUUCGGGUUGUAAAGCACUUUCAGUCGUGAGGAAGGUAGUGUAGUUAAUAGCUGCAGUAUUUGACGUUAGCGACAGAAGAAGCACCGGCUAACUCCGUGCCAGCAGCCGCGGUAAUACGGAGGUGCGAGCGUUAAUCGGAAUUACUGGGACGUAAAGCGCAUGCAGGUUGGUUUGUUAAGUCAGAUGUGAAAGCCCCGGGGCUCAACCUCGGAAUAGCAUUUGAAACUGGCAGACUAGAGUACUGUAGAGGGGGUAGAAUUUCAGGUGUAGCGGUGAAAUGCGUAGAGAUCUGAAGGAAUACCGGUGGCGAAGGCGGCCCCCUGGACAGAUACUGACACUCAGAUGCGAAAGCGUGGGGAGCCAAACAGGAUUAGAUACCCUGGUAG